GCCAUUACAGAGCACUUAGGGUGUAUCAAAAGAACACUGUUCCAUGCUCAGUUUUAUGGUCCUGUAAGUACAAUAAACGUUUCAGAUGGAGUGACAAAAGCCAAACCACAGGGGCAUCAAAAGUCCCAAGAGCAGAUUUCAGGGGAAACUUAAGAAGGCUGGAACAGGAAGCAGCUGAGCAGGCAGCCCACAACAUUCCCAGCUUUGGAAAUGCCAGGAGCUUCAACACACAUCAGGGAAGGCCCCACCCUGGACAGAGACCCUCAGCAAAUUCUGGACAUUCACAAGAUGAACCAGUGCCCUGUGGACCAAGUGAGGAAGGCAUGGAGAUGGGUGCGUGAGGUCGCUGCUCACAUCGAAUCUGCAGUCAAGACACAAAUGAAUUCUGCUGCUCUUCUUACCUUCCCAUUCUUGUUCAAUCCAGGACCCCAGCCUUUGGAAUGGAUCUCCCUACACAUAUAGGGAAGGGAGAAGCGCUUGGGGAAAUUGCAGCCCGUGACAUGGAUGGAGACUGUGCACUCACCUGGCUCCUUUGCUGAGCAGCACAGACUCUGGCUCAUUCUCAGGAGCCAAGCAUCUCAGAACAGGGAGGGGGAGGCUGACUGCUGGCUCCUGUGUCCACGCCCAUCACCCCUGCCACCUCCCUAGUCUUCUGUGUACUCUAGCUCUAAGCUGAAGGCUCUGCAACUUAGAAAUGCAGACACUCCAUGCUGGCUCUUGGACUGGUAGUCCCCAGGAAGAGGCAGUGUGCUGAUAGAUCCUGGGGGAAGUGGAGCAAGGAGGGCUGAGCUGAGCUACUCAAGGGCUUCAUAACUCUGAGGCCCAGUAACUUUUCAGUCUCAGACUGCAGAUUGGGAAGUGGAGGCCCUGAAUGGAGUGAGGCAUGCUGGGGUUCAUAAAAACUCAGCAGCCACAGAACCAGAUGGUCUGUCGCUCAACCUCUCCCAAGGCAUUGUUCCUGGAAGGUGCCAUAUAUUGUUUUGAGAAUUUCUUCUCAGAAGGAAACAGAAACAAUGCCUACCCCCUCCUUAUAAGGUCCUAAGGACAAAGGGAAGUAUGAUUUACCAGAGUUCACAUUGGAGAAUUACUGUGUUUAUUGGGCUUCCUUACUAGAGUGAAUGAGGGGCUGCUUACAGGAGCCUGGAUGACCACAAAACUUCCACACUGGAAACGUUGACACCACAAUGAUGAUGGUUACUCUAUAAGCCACAGAGGGAAGAGCUACAUGGAUGGUGGCUUCUCUGUAAGCCAUACAUACAGCCUCUCUUUAUUAACAUCCUCCAAUCUGUGUACUCCAUCAUCUCCUGAGACCACAGGCACAGGAAGUUAUGGCAGAAUUUGGUGGCUGGAAACUCAAAUGAGAGUCCAGUGAUCCUUCUCACUCUCUCUGUCUAUGAAGGGAUGUCCACAGUCAACAAGACAGAUGGCUAAUUUGAUGAAGAUGGUGGCUAUUUUGCUCCGAUGGCUGAGUUCCGCAUCCCAUAUGUUCUAUAUCCCAUAAGGUCACGUGUUCUGAAGACCCUUAAGUUCUCUGCUUGUGAACUAGAGCCUGUUUGGAAUGCCUGGUGCAAAAUAAGAUGCAGCCACUGCCUGGCAAACUAUACUGCACAGACUUGUGAUUAUAAUGAGAUUUUCUCUGUGUCAGGUGCCCAUGCUUGACUGCUUGUGAGGGCUCAUGGG
Molecule: long non-coding RNA, 1680 nt
Organism: Mus musculus (house mouse)
Lineage: Eukaryota; Metazoa; Chordata; Mammalia; Rodentia; Muridae
Product: predicted gene, 36233
Exons: 4
Source: RefSeq, a predicted model, not a curated record